This 253-nucleotide ribosomal RNA is filed under the name uncultured bacterium. Its description in RNAcentral is "partial 16S ribosomal RNA". It matches the Rfam family "Bacterial small subunit ribosomal RNA", at positions 524 to 776 of the family's 1533-position model. The record is from RNAcentral.
UACGAAGGGGGCGAGCGUUGUUCGGAUUUACUGGGCGUAAAGGGCGCGCAGGCGGCUUUGUUUGUCAGAUGUGAAAUUCCCGGGCUUAACCUGGGGGCUGCAUUUGAUACGUCUAGGCUUGAGUGAGGAAGAGGGUUGUGGAAUUCCCAGUGUAGAGGUGAAAUUCGUAGAUAUUGGGAAGAACACCGGUGGCGAAGGCGGCAACCUGGUCCUUUACUGACGCUGAGGCGCGAAAGCGUGGGGAGCAAACAGG